ACUUAAUUCUAAAGAAUCAAAUACAAUGGGAAAUUGGGUAUAUUUAAAAUGUAAAGUUGCAUGCUACUUCAGAACGAUUUUGCUUUUAAUAUGCAAUGUGACUGGAAACAGCUUAACCAUCAACAAAAAUGGUAAGCAAUGUAGAAUCUAAUUUUUCAGUUCAAAACUUAAUUAGCAAUUUUAAAAGGUUAACGCCAGCGCCUGAGACUGUUUUUUGUUUAAUAAUCCUAUUACUGAUGGCUCAUCAUGUAUAAAAUGGUGCGGUAUGAUGCAAAAAUCCCACAUUUGUUUAUGUGUGGAUUGUAACAGAAAUAUAUUACAUAUUCUACAUGGAGGAAAAAAAUAACUCAGACUAUAAUCGUUUACCGUUCAGUCUGAACAAUGCAAACAUUGAUGCACAGUUGGAGUUUCACUGCUGGGGAUCGUUGGUGCCGUUUUAGGCGCCUUUAGAUUUCAUCAAUCAAACUGACUGCAAUUUUCCAUAAAAAUGCUGAAUUUGGGUCAGAAUCUGGGCAAAGCAGAUAAAGAUCAUUGAAGCUGUCUUGUGAGAUGAUAAAUGGAGCCCCUUUCAGGCAAAUAAAACAAGAGUUUUAGUUUGGUUUC
This is a long non-coding RNA of Leucoraja erinaceus (little skate), 603 nucleotides long. RefSeq lists it as uncharacterized. The transcript has 2 exons. NCBI's taxonomy places the organism in Eukaryota, Metazoa, Chordata, Chondrichthyes, Rajiformes, Rajidae. The record is from RefSeq and is a predicted model, not a curated record.